Molecule: long non-coding RNA, 696 nt
Organism: Neofelis nebulosa (Clouded leopard)
Lineage: Eukaryota; Metazoa; Chordata; Mammalia; Carnivora; Felidae
Exons: 2
Source: RefSeq, a predicted model, not a curated record
GGGUCUUCAGGGAUCAAGUGAGAAUGUCAGCAAAACAAACUAAAGUGAAUAACUAUUUAAUGACUCAAUUAUAAAUAUCUACACAUAUCAGUUGGCUCAUCACAAUGGGAUAAGACUUUUCUGUUGUGGAAAUUGUAAUUAAGAUAUUAGCAACUGGACAUGGAACAGAAGCUACAGAUUCCUGGAGAGACACAGGACAGAGAAAGCACAGGGACUCUAGUAACUCUCACAGCUGAGGAAAUAGAUAUCUCCUCUCCCCAAAGUGUGGUCUGCAGACCAGCAGCCUCAGCAUCACCACAAACUUGUUAGAAAUGCAGAAACUCAGGCCAAAUCCCAGACUUAAAUCAGAAUCUGCAACCUGACCAGGUUCCCAGCUGAUUUGCCUACUGACGUUUGGGAAGCACUGCUCUCGAUGACCUGGACCCUGCAGCUGUGUUGGAUCCCAAAAAGCCUUGGUCCUCCUGACCUCCUGAGGCCUGAUAGUAUGCAUCUUCCCAUAUUCCCAUGAAUCCUGGUCCAAGUUCAAGAAGUUAAUAAAUAGAAGAGCUGGGAUUCAAACAGAGGUCUGACUCUUUGAUCCAUCUGGGUAAAUAUAAUAUUGUAUUUCUAGUCCUUUUGCCCAGAAACACACUGUAUUUUCCCAUUCAUUUAAAGCUUCUAUUAUAGCUCAAUAAAGUUUUAUUACUUUUUUUCAUA